ACGUGUCGCGUGGCAAGGCAACGCUGACCAGGGAACGAGCCACGUGGGCGAUCCGCGUGCGCAUGAUCGGACAACCCAGAUCCGUUCCCGCGCACACGGACGACCCAGAUCAAACGUGCGCACGGACGGCCCAGAUUCACGUGCACGAACGGCCCAGAUUCAAUCAGGCACGGACAGCCCAGAUUGCAUCGCGAUGAACGGCCUAGAUU
Molecule: long non-coding RNA, 209 nt
Filed under: Carica papaya (papaya)
Lineage: Eukaryota; Viridiplantae; Streptophyta; Magnoliopsida; Brassicales; Caricaceae
Description: long non-coding RNA (CPAP_LNC011776)
Source: RNAcentral